GCAAGUCGAGCGGAAACGAAGAGGAGCUUGCUCCUUUGGCGUCGAGCGGCGGACGGGUGAGUAAUGCUUGGGAAUGUGCCUUAUGGUGGGGGACAACAGUUGGAAACGACUGCUAAUGCCGCAUAAUGUCUUCGGACCAAAGUGGGGGACCUUCGGGCCUCACGCCAUAAGAUCAGCCCAAGUGGGAUUAGCUAGUUGGUAAGGUAAUGGCUUACCAAGGCGACGAUCCCUAGCUGGUUUGAGAGGAUGAUCAGCCACACUGGGACUGAGACACGGCCCAGACUCCUACGGGAGGCAGCAGUGGGGAAUAUUGCACAAUGGGCGCAAGCCUGAUGCAGCCAUGCCGCGUGUGUGAAGAAGGCCUUCGGGUUGUAAAGCACUUUCAGUAAGGAGGAAAGGUUAAGUGUUAAUAGCACUUAGCUGUGACGUUACUUACAGAAGAAGCACCGGCUAACUCCGUGCCAGCAGCCGCGGUAAUACGGAGGGUGCGAGCGUUAAUCGGAAUUACUGGGCGUAAAGCGUACGCAGGCGGUUUGUUAAGCGAGAUGUGAAAGCCCCGGGCUCAACCUGGGAACUGCAUUUCGAACUGGCAAACUAAAGUGUGAUA
Molecule: ribosomal RNA, 607 nt
Filed under: uncultured bacterium
Lineage: Bacteria
Description: bacterial SSU rRNA
Rfam family: Bacterial small subunit ribosomal RNA
Source: RNAcentral